RNAcentral lists this ribosomal RNA (551 nucleotides) under Pseudocercospora camelliicola. RNAcentral describes it as "eukaryotic LSU rRNA". The stretch from base 203 to 356 matches the Rfam family "5.8S ribosomal RNA". The record is from RNAcentral. Lineage: Eukaryota; Fungi; Ascomycota; Dothideomycetes; Mycosphaerellales; Mycosphaerellaceae.
GGAAGUAAAAGUCGUAACAAGGUCUCCGUAGGUGAACCUGCGGAGGGAUCAUUACCGAGUGAGGGCUCACGCCCGACCUCCAACCCUUUGUGAACCCAUCUUGUUGCUUCGGGGGCGACCCUGCCGGCACAUCGUCGCCGGGCGCCCCCGGAGGUCUCCAAACACUGCAUCUUUGCGUCGGAGUUCAAAACAAAUGAAACAAAACUUUCAACAACGGAUCUCUUGGUUCUGGCAUCGAUGAAGAACGCAGCGAAAUGCGAUAAGUAAUGUGAAUUGCAGAAUUCAGUGAAUCAUCGAAUCUUUGAACGCACAUUGCGCCCUUUGGUAUUCCGAAGGGCAUGCCUGUUCGAGCGUCAUUUCACCACUCAAGCCUGGCUUGGUAUUGGGCGUCGCGGCCCCGCGCGCCUUAAAGUCUCCGGCUAAGCCAUUCGUCUCUAAGCGUUGUGGAUUUUCUAAUUCGCUUCGGAGUGCGGGUGGCCGCGGCCGUUAAAUCUUUAUUCAAAGGUUGACCUCGGAUCAGGUAGGGAUACCCGCUGAACUUAAGCAUAUCA